UACGGGGGGGGCAAGCGUUGUUCGGAAUUACUGGGCGUAAAGGGCGUGUAGGUGGCCAACUAAGUCAGACGUGAAAUCCCACGGCUCAACCGUGGAAGUGCGCACGAAACUGCGUAGCUAGAGUCCUGGAGAGGAAGGUGGAAUGCUUGGUGUAGAGGUGAAAUUCGUAGAUAUCAAGCGGAACACCGGUGGCGAAGGCGGCCUUCUGGACAGUGACUGACGCUGAGACGCGAAAGCGUGGGGAGCAAACAGG
RNAcentral lists this ribosomal RNA (253 nucleotides) under uncultured bacterium. RNAcentral's name for it is "partial 16S ribosomal RNA". It matches the Rfam family "Bacterial small subunit ribosomal RNA", at positions 524 to 776 of the family's 1533-position model. The record is from RNAcentral.